ACCUCUCUCUUCACUUGUCAAAUGCCAACUUCUGAGCCAAGUGCUAAGCCAUUGCUUCAUACGGAAGUAAAGUAAGAAGUGAAUUGCCAAUGGGUUCCGUGAAAAUUGUAGGGAAAUGAAAGAAAAUGAUCAGCUGAUCAACAAUGGGAACUGUAGUCACCCAUUUUGCUUGGAAUGUUUAAGCAAACAUGUGGAGGAAAAGAUCAAAUUGAGCAUGAAAAUUGUUGCAUGUCCAGGCUUAAACUGUGAAUGUGUCCUACAAUUGCAGACAUACAAGCAUUUUCUCUCUAAGGAUGUGCUCAACCUGAGGGAAAAGCCAAAUGAUCAGCUGAUCAAGAAUAGGAAUUGUGGACUGUGGUCGCAUACUUUGCUUUAAUCGAUGCAGGAGCAACCUGACAAAAAGAGAAACCUCAGUCCAUUUAACGCAAGAUACAAAAAUUGUGGCUAAUUUUCUCUAGCUACUAACAGUUGGCACUUGGCAGCAUAAAUAAGAAGCAACGCACAUUAUGAACUUGAUACACAAUUCACAAAAUCCAUAAUAACACGAGCAAAACUCAAGCAAUCUACUUAUAUUCAAUACUGACAAUAGAUAUAAAAACAAAUAUGAAAAUCAAAUAUUUGAUGACCACAUUUAUAUAAGUCUAAAUAGUUGACUUAAGCAAAAAGAUAUAUCCUAAACACAAUAGAAUACAUGGAUGGCCAAGUCCGAGAUGGCAAAAACUAGAAUAGCAUCCCAAGAAUCAUUGAAGCAAGCCAAUCAAUCACCCAUCAAUUUUUUUUUUAUAAGAUAAUGUAUAAUAGUGCACAACAGAAACAAAUGACAAUCAAAUGAAAAUAG
This 838-nucleotide unclassified non-coding RNA is filed under the name Hevea brasiliensis (rubber tree). Lineage: Eukaryota; Viridiplantae; Streptophyta; Magnoliopsida; Malpighiales; Euphorbiaceae. The record is from RNAcentral.